UCAUUGCUGGAACAAACACCCUCACGGGCGUUACCCAGAAACCCUUUGUGAAUACUACCUAAAAAUGUUGCCUCGGCAUUGGUUGGCCUCUUUGGAGGCCCCUUCUUUCGGGAAGGAGCAGACCGGCCGGUGGCCCUAUAAAUUCUUGUUUUUGUACUAUCAUCUGAGUAAAACAACUAAAAUGAAUCAAAACUUUCAACAACGGAUCUCUUGGUUCUGGCAUCGAUGAAGAACGCAGCGAAAUGCGAUAAGUAAUGUGAAUUGCAGAAUUCAGUGAAUCAUCGAAUCUUUGAACGCACAUUGCGCCCGGUGGUAUUCCACCGGGCAUGCCUGUUCGAGCGUCAUUUCAACCCUCAAAGCCUUGGCUUUGGUGUUGGAGGAAUACCUUGUAAAAAGGGUACCCUCUGAAAUUUAGUGGCGGGCUCGCUAGAAUUUUGAGCGUAGUAAUUUUACCUCGUUUUUAAAGACUAGUGGGACUUCUUGCCGUAAAACCCCCCAACUUUCUGA
Molecule: ribosomal RNA, 507 nt
Filed under: Plagiostoma robergeanum
Lineage: Eukaryota; Fungi; Ascomycota; Sordariomycetes; Diaporthales; Gnomoniaceae
Description: eukaryotic LSU rRNA
Rfam family: 5.8S ribosomal RNA (bases 191-344)
Source: RNAcentral